GACGAACGCUGGCGGCGUGCUUAACACAUGCAAGUCGAACGGAAAGGCCCUGCUUUUGUGGGGUGCUUGAGUGGCGAACGGGUGAGUAACACGUGAGUAACCUGCCCUUGACUUUGGGAUAACUUCAGGAAACUGGGGCUAAUACCGGAUAGGAGCUCCUGCUGCAUGGUGGGGGUUGGAAAGUUUCGGCGGUUGGGGAUGGACUCGCGGCUUAUCAGCUUGUUGGUGGGGUAGUGGCUUACCAAGGCUUUGACGGGUAGCCGGCCUGAGAGGGUGACCGGCCACAUUGGGACUGAGAUACGGCCCAGACUCCUACGGGAGGCAGCAGUGGGGAAUAUUGCACAAUGGGCGGAAGCCUGAUGCAGCAACGCCGCGUGCGGGAUGACGGCCUUCGGGUUGUAAACCGCUUUCGCCUGUGACGAAGCGUGAGUGACGGUAAUGGGUAAAGAAGCACCGGCUAACUACGCG
This 468-nucleotide ribosomal RNA is filed under the name uncultured bacterium. RNAcentral's name for it is "partial 16S ribosomal RNA". It matches the Rfam family "Bacterial small subunit ribosomal RNA", at positions 28 to 507 of the family's 1533-position model. The record is from RNAcentral.